Molecule: long non-coding RNA, 4458 nt
Organism: Bombus pascuorum
Lineage: Eukaryota; Metazoa; Arthropoda; Insecta; Hymenoptera; Apidae
Exons: 2
Source: RefSeq, a predicted model, not a curated record
UUCACCUUGGUUCCGGUGUCCAUGGGAGAGGCUCCGACGUCUGCGUUGAGAACCGUAUCAUGGAGACUAUUUCCCGAUCAAUGUCAGGCCAAACUUACGUUCCUCCUGAGUCCUUGUAACAUCAACGGUCAACGAUGUUUCCAUUUCAGGGGAAAGCGUCAACAGAGCUGAUUUCGUAGCGUGUCCCGUAGUAAUCGAUCGAGAUUAAGUAUGAUAACUAACGAAACUCAAUUAUGGUUAGUCCGGUUUUUCGAGCUUAUCAGGUGAAGAGCGGGUGCACUGAGAAUGGUCAGGUUUUGUUUCGUUGAUAAUUGCUUAGCUGAUAUUCCUACUUGAUAAAUUUAUUAGAAAGUUAUAUUUCGUUUCGUGAAUUAAGAUACUUGUUGAAGGAAGCUAUUUAAAUUCGUAUAGCUAUUAAAUUUAAAUUUGUGAAUAAUACAGAAAAUUUCAGAUCGUAUCCAAACUUUAUAUUGUUCAAUAGUAUAAAGUGGAAUUGUUUGUAAAUUUGUGUGAAAAUUGUCUUAGUAGAAAAUCAUCAAAUUUAUAUUAUACAGGAGAAAUAUAUUUUCAAUUAAAAAUUUCCCUUUCGAUUCAGAUUUGCAAAAUUUUAUACAUAUUAUAAUAAAAUCCAUAUGUUAUAUUCGACAUAUAAUAAUAAUAAUAAUAUUUCAAAUUUCCAAAUAUUGUUUGAAUAUUCAUACUGAUUUAAUUGGAUAGACUCUUUGAACUAUAUUCACAUUACAACAAAAUUAUCAAUAUUUACCUUUCUAUACGUACUUUCUUUAUUCUAUCAAAUAUCGAAUGAAAAAGCACUUCUUUACAAAUUUCAACACUUCUUUGCUUGGUUAAAUUUAAACCACACAUUUUACAACUUUUGUAUGAGGGUAUACAUAUCCAUUAUCUACUAAAAAUCACCUGUUCCGUGCAGAUAUGAUUGAAUGUACACUGAUAUCAACUCACCAACCUCGCUCAGGUCCAGUAAUUACACUAAUGAACGUCUGCCAUGGUCUGUUUACAAAUAGGAUUUUAUUCAGUUGUUUCCGAAAGGGAAUCAAUAAUUCUAACAAUGAUGGACGUAAAGCGUAAUAGUACCAGUAAUACAGUAUCGAUGAUGUUUCUAUUUCAUACUUUCCAAGUUGCACGUCUGAUUACGAACGUUGUUGACCUGUUUGUUACAGACUUUUUCUCUGUACAUAACUGAGAAAUCAAAUAGCUGCAUCCUUACAGCUAGCAAGAAGGAUUAAUUGAGGUAUCGUGGAUAAUUAGUUUGGGUCGGGUUUCGUAUUUAACUUCGCUGAUAUAGGAAACGUUUGACUCGACGACGAGGAAAUAGUUAGCUCAUUAAAGAAGAGGGAGGAGUGAGAAAAGCAGCGCAAGGCUGAGAGAAAGCGAUGGAACGGGUGCCAUUUACUUCAUUAUACGCUUUCUGUAAAAUUAUGCCGUUUAAAGAGUCCGUUUUAUCAUUCAACGUGCACAUCUGACAAAUUAUUGCUUACUGAAUAAGAUUUAUUAAAUUCUUCCAGACUGUGAAGCGUUUGCACACGAUUUCACGAAAGUUAAAGUUUUCAUAAAUCUUCAAUAUUUUUUCAUAUUUGUCGUAUAUGAAAUUAUAAUGGCCACAGUUUGUCUUAAUUAUUUUUUUGUUUUAUCUGUAUCUUGUCGUCCAAUUCGUCGCUGUUUUCUUAUUCACUUACCCGUGGAUGAUAUUCUUUCGUUCGUUAGUUUCUAUCAUGAUGCGAUCUACUUGAUUUAAUUAUGUCAAGAUUAAAAUGUAAAUUACGAUAUUCCGUGAAUUAUAUUUUCAUAAAACUUUAAGUUACGUUUCAAAACGUUAGUAUAUCUCUGUAUCUCAUACUUUAGCAUCUAUAUUAGCGCGCUUAUUCGGUUCUUUUUAUCAAUAAAAUAAAAUUUAUCUGUCUCAUGGCUAAUUUAAUUCCAGUCUAUUCUUCGUGAAAAGAUUUUUUAUGGUAUACAUUCUCGACUUGCACACUAUGUACUUUGUUAGCUCGGCUUCCUCAACUUAAAUUGCCAUUUAACUAUCUCACUAACAGGGAUUGGUAUAACGCGAUUUACAAAGGCAUUCCGCGUGUUUGCAACGACUAAAUUGACUUGCCUGGCGUGAUAUUAGAACGAACUAAAGGAGCAAUUGCGGAGGGGACGGCUGGGAAUGCAGAUAAGUUGAGAAACUGAAUUCUGUUUUUCAUCGAUGAAGUCAAUAUUACGAAAUAGCAGUGGCGUCUGGGUAAACCGGAAUCGAACGCAAGCCAGGGGUAGGGAUAACGAACUUCUGCAAGAUGUUACUGAAUUUGCCAGUUCCGUAGCCCGGGGUGAGCCGCUAUACGGUGAUUAAAUUUCCUAGUUGCACUGCUGCGAAGGGUUAUUCCAUAGGAAAUUUAAACAACGGCUUUAAGGAACGGUUUCUCGUUCGCUUCCUCUCCCUCUCUUCUCUUACGCAACGGAUCGCUAGGUUCCGUGCCGGCUGCUUUUCCGGCCCUCCUAAAUAUCGUUUUUCCCCUGUUGCGGUCUCGUUACCAUGUUCCAGGAAAUUCAGCCGCAGGCUACGAGACCGGGAAACGUUCGCCGCGAAUUAUUCAUGUAGUAACAUUUACGUUGCUUCAAAGUCUCGUGAUUUUGUAUCCCCGGACAUGCUUCGUGUUUCUUCCUCCAUCUUUUCCUUUAAUGUUCGCCCGGUGACGUUAUCUGAUUCUUUGAUGGGGGAGGUAAGCAUGUUUUCUGGUUAUCGCUUUUGUCUGCGGAGCCGCGAACAACCCGAUUAACGUUCGUUGCAGAACGGAACUUCUCAGCCUCUGGGAUGAAAUUACUGAGAUUAAGACAGAGAAAAUUAAACUUUUCCGCCACCCCCCUCUUUCGCUUUGCCGUGCUUUUCUCUCUAAUUUCUUGCAAAUCGAAAUUUAUGGGUGCGAACCUUGCGGAGAAAUGGCAGCACGCUGAAUUGAAAAUAUUCAGCAUCCUCCCACGUACUUCCAUGUCGACGUCGUUGCUACACAUUUCUCCUCAUGAGUGACUCUUACAAGUUAAUGAGGAAAACGAACGACACGAACGUGUCUACCAACCUUUAUGCUAUUUUUCGGUCUUGCGGAAUAAAUAAAAUUCUGAUUAUUCGGUCAUUUCGUCGUAACGUUAAUUUUUUUUUGUUAUUGUAAUAGUUGCCGGCAUGGUAUUAGUUUUACGUGUCAUUUAACUUAAUGAACGUGGUACAUCAUAUAGGGCGAGCAUGAACUCGCGAGGGGUCAAUAAUUGAAUCACCGAAAAUUGCUUUAAUGUAAAGGUGAAAAUAAAAUUUGUAAAUUAAAUUUUGCGCCGGGAUAACGUCGAAACGGUUUUCAUUUUAAUUGUAUGAUAAUACAGUUUGUAAAAUGGAUUUCUGCAGCGAACGCAGUUAAAGCAAAAAGAGGAAACUGUUGUUGCAAAGGGUAGCGCGUAUUCAUGGAAAAUAAUGGGGGAUUUUUAAGCGGAUAAAAGAUUUUUAAUGAACUGAUUUUUAACGAAAAUAUCAACAAAAUAUUAUAAUGUUUCCUAACCAGAAACUUUAUUACACAACUGUAUAUAUUAAUAUCAUAUCCCCCAAAAUAUAAUAAAAACUAACGAAAAUAACAAUUUAAGCAUAUCGCGAUACAGCAAAUACCACUAUGGGAAUGGUCGCAUGGUAAACCAUUAGCUUAUCAUUUUAAAUGUACGGAUUCCUAUGGUUUCCGUUAGAUUACUUUUCUAGAAAAGAAGGCAACGCGAAACGCGCGGCGGCAGAUGCAGGAAAUCUGUUUGCCCGAUAACUGGCUGAAAGCGUGAAAUCCUUGUAUCUCGAAUCGAAGCGGAUACCGCCGUAUCUUGAAAGGUACAGAUUUUCCCGACAGCUGUCGAUCUUUUUUCUCAACAGUUCCUAACUUCUUUUCUUUCUCCAUCUCCUUAAUUUGCUGGAGGAUAUAGAAUUUUUUGACGACGUUGUCGAGUAACGGGAUUAGUCUGUUGCGGCGAUUAACAUGCUAAUGAGCUCGAUGGUUUUCGUCUGGUGAUGGAACUCAUUCUCGUGCACGAAUAAUAAAUUGCACGUUUCGCAGACUCAUUUUUAAGGAGCAGCUAAUUGUGUUGUUUCCUAGAGCGAAAUUAAUUGCGCUUUUAUACCGAUACCGCUUCCGGGAUCUGAUAUAUUUCAACUAUUUGUUCACUGGUGCGAUACGUUCAUUUGUAAGAGGGUGUCAUAUUGUAAAUCAAGAUUAGUAUGUAUCUCUUCAAUUUAUAUUUUUAUCAGAAAGUAUGGUAUAUUUCAACUCUGAUUUGUUUACUUUUCUGAUAUGCCUGUUUAUAACAAAGUAUAUUGUAAAUCAUGAUCUUUUUCGUUAAUUUGAAAAUUUUAUUUUGAAAAAUUGUAUCUCUAUUGAAAAUAUGUUUAACUAAAGAUGUAUAAAUACGUACACCGCUUUCAUAAACAUUAAGAAACUA